This 688-nucleotide ribosomal RNA is filed under the name uncultured Streptococcaceae bacterium. Its description in RNAcentral is "bacterial SSU rRNA". It matches the Rfam family "Bacterial small subunit ribosomal RNA", at positions 64 to 735 of the family's 1533-position model. The record is from RNAcentral. Lineage: Bacteria; Bacillati; Bacillota; Bacilli; Lactobacillales; Streptococcaceae.
GAACGCUGAGAACUGGUGCUUGCACCGGUUCAAAGAGUUGCGAACGGGUGAGUAACGCGUAGGUAACCUACCUCAUAGCGGGGGAUAACUAUUGGAAACGAUAGCUAAUACCGCAUAAGAGAGACUAACGCAUGUUAGUAAUUUAAAAGGGGCAAUUGCUCCACUAUGAGAUGGACCUGCGUUGUAUUAGCUAGUUGGUGAGGUAAAGGCUCACCAAGGCGACGAUACAUAGCCGACCUGAGAGGGUGAUCGGCCACACUGGGACUGAGACACGGCCCAGACUCCUACGGGAGGCAGCAGUAGGGAAUCUUCGGCAAUGGGGGCAACCCUGACCGAGCAACGCCGCGUGAGUGAAGAAGGUUUUCGGAUCGUAAAGCUCUGUUGUUAGAGAAGAAUGAUGGUGGGAGUGGAAAAUCCACCAAGUGACGGUAACUAACCAGAAAGGGACGGCUAACUACGUGCCAGCAGCCGCGGUAAUACGUAGGUCCCGAGCGUUGUCCGGAUUUAUUGGGCGUAAAGCGAGCGCAGGCGGUUUUUUAAGUCUGAAGUUAAAGGCAUUGGCUCAACCAAUGUACGCUUUGGAAACUGGAGAACUUGAGUGCAGAAGGGGAGAGUGGAAUUCCAUGUGUAGCGGUGAAAUGCGUAGAUAUAUGGAGGAACACCGGUGGCGAAAGCGGCUCUCUGGUCU